CCACGUGAUGAAUACAUUGAACAGCUGAAG
Molecule: non-coding RNA, 30 nt
Filed under: Cricetulus griseus (Chinese hamster)
Lineage: Eukaryota; Metazoa; Chordata; Mammalia; Rodentia; Cricetidae
Source: RNAcentral